GUUUUUAUAAUUUAAUUAAAAUAUUGGUCUUGUAAAUCAAAAAUAAGAAAUUUCUUUUAAAACU
This 64-nucleotide transfer RNA is filed under the name Lethe baileyi. RNAcentral's name for it is "tRNA-Thr". Lineage: Eukaryota; Metazoa; Arthropoda; Insecta; Lepidoptera; Nymphalidae. The record is from RNAcentral.